UCGAGCGGGGGAAGCGGCCGUUAGGACCGUGGUGUUGUGCGGCCGCGGGGCAGGCUCCCGUCACUGGUCACCGCCGCCUCCCCUGGUGCAGCUGCUGUGUCACGGCCACGCCGCCCGGCUGCACAGCGCCAGGAGCCGGGUCUGGAGGCGGCUGGGGUUAAGGGCCUGCUUGGGGACUCGUCCGCCGCCUGGGUGGUGGAGUCCUACUCCAUGACGAUGGGGCGGCCACCUUGAAGGUACUGGGCCCGGGACGGGAAAGAAAAGACGCGAGAUCUUCUUUUGGAGGACCGCAAGGAGACUUGUCCUCCUGUCAAUCAGAGCUCCCCUAUCUGAAAGCGGAAGGUGGACCAUGAGCUUCGGAAGUUGCUGUUGCUCCCCUCUCUCAGAAUUAAGAUUGAGCUUCAGCCCAGACUGCGACUUCCUUCUUCUGUCUAACGUCUAAUCAUACCUGCUCACUCAGCAGUAUCCCACUGUUGUGCAAAAUGUUAACUCAAAUGUGAAGUUCUCCAAAAUUCAUAACUCCUCUCCAUGGGUCCAGAAAAAGAAAAUGUCGUCAAUGUACUUGGUGUAGUAUCAGUUGGACUCCUGCGUAUAGAGGAGGUCUUGUUUGAACCUCUGCAUGAAAAUGUUGGUAUGUUAACAUACAAAUUUGGUCCCCGUGGCUGUUCCAUGUGUCUGGAUGAAUAACUGAUUGUCAAAGGUGAAGACGUUGCGAUCGAGGAUAAAGCAAAUGAGUUGUAGGGCGGUUCUUCGAGAUUGGCAGUUCUUGGGUUUGAGUACUGAGGCUGUUGCCAUGAUGCCAUCAUUGUGGGGGAUGCUGGUGUAGAGUGCUGAAAUGAACAUUGUGACGAGGAAUGUUCCGAUUUGACUGGUCCAUGGUGCUGAGUUUCUGUAAGAAAUCUGUAGCCUUCAAUGUAGCUGGAGAGGUUCUCACACAGAGUCCCAUUGCCAGGGAUGUGCAAGUCAGGAUGGAUUAGCCAUGGGAAAUAGAGUAAGGGGGUGGCUCUUCAGAGAGCCAGAGUGGAAUGGAUGGGCCGAAUAGCUUGCUUCCACAUUGUCAAGAGUCUAUGACUCUUUUCCCCCCCACCCCCCUCAAACAAAGGAACGUUUUAUUUGCAUCUACCCUGUCAUGUCCCUUUCAGAAUUCUACUGGUUUCAAUCAGGUCACUUCUGCUUCAUAGAGGUAUACAGCACAGAGACAGACCCUUCACUCCAACUAGUCCAACCAGGAUUCCCAGACUAAACUAGUCCCACUUGCCUGCAUUUGGCACAUAUCCCUCUAAACCUUUCUAUUUUUUUCCCUUCCAAAUGUUGUUUAAAUGCUCUAACUUGUAUCUGCAUCUACCACAUCCUCAGCAAGGAACAUUGGGAGGUUUAGGGAAACCACCUUCGCAUGAAUAGUUCCAACAGUGAGAAAAUUUCAGCCCUAAAGUUAGAUUGGAGAAAGCUGAGACAAGAUUUAAAUGAAGUUUUGAAAAUCACGAGGGGUCUACCCAGAACAGACAAACUGUUCACCAUGGUGAAAGAAUUGAGAAUGAGUAUGCAGAUUUCAAAUACAUGACAAGGAAGAAAAUGGGAUGAUAGGAAGAAAUUUCUGAGUAACUAGAUCUGGAAUGCAUUGCAUGGAACAGUAGUUUAAGCAGGUUCAAUUAAGGGCAUUGGAUAAUUAUUUGAUUACAAGCAAUGUACAAGCUUCCAAGGAAAAGUCAGGAAAAUGGUACCAGGUCAGAAAGGUCAUUGAGAACUGAAGGACACAGUGGGCUGAAUGGCCUGCUUCUGUGCUUCAGUAGUUCAAUGGUUCAUAAUUGCUCAUCGGAUGUCAGUCAGUUAUGAACAUCAGGCUAGCAUCUGCUAUUUUGUAUGGUCAGUCAGGGAGAAUCAGUCAGAUCCAUGUUUUAUAAUGAUUUAUGAUUAGGAUAAGGAUCCCAGGUAUUCACAAUAUAUGCCAAUGAUUUAGAUGAGAGAACUAAUUGGAAAUAUUCCAAUGUGCAGACGACACAAAGCUGGGUGGAAGGGUGAGCUGUGAAGAGGAUGCAAUGUUAUUUGGACAAGCUGAGUGAGUGGGCAAAUGUAUAAUAGGUGCAGAUUAGUGUGGAUCAAUGUGAGGUGAUCCACUUUGGUAGCAAAAAUAGAAAGGCAGAUGAUUUGAAUAAUAAAUUUGUAACCUCUGAGAUGGGAAUGUUCACCAAGAACUCAUUCAAGAUGGAGAACGGGAAAGCAUUGUGGCUGGAAGAGCUGCUGUGUCUUUGAGGUAUUUUGGGUGUAGGAGGUGAUUUCCUCUAAUUCCAGGAACAGCAAUUACUGGUUUAUGUGAUGUUGAGUUGUUCUGAAACAUUUGGGGGAGAAAAAAAUUAAAACAAGACCCUUUUAAAAUGAAGCAAGGCAGACAAAGGCAGCAAGCACAAAGCCAGUGAGGGAAAGAGAGAAAGAAGCCUACACUGCUAACUGACACAACAGUGAAUCUGUGUAGUUACUGCGUUUGCUAUUUUAAUUCACGUACCUCUGGACAUCGGUGUACGCCUCAGAAAAAUUAACAAACAGCGAAAUUCACAGCUGGUCUUGGGGGAACCAGUGUGGGAGAGCUCUUAGCACAGGAACAGAUAAUUGUAUAGUUUUUAAUGUGUAACCUUGCUGUAAGUCUACAGUAGAGUGUAGAGUGGGUUCUUUCUUGAUUAUAUGUUUUACUGAAAUCUGUCUCGAUUAAAUUUUGAAAAUAUAAACUAUAAGUACUAAGUUAGCCUGGAGCACAUUAAAGAGCAAAAAGACGGUGCUAUUUUCUGGUUCUGUAGAUUAUGAAUGAGCAAAGAUGGCCUUUAGUAGUGUGAUAUGGUCGUAUUAUUAGACGUGGGAGAUGAGGGAUAGUUUCCGUGUUACUGAGGAUUAUGUCUACACAAAGUGUUCUUGGUUGCGAAUCUCAUCAGAUCGAAUGGGUUAGUUGGAGCGAUGGUAGAGGCAAUUUGGAGUUUACAAGAACUAGGAAGAGAGAAAAGCCGCAAUCAGAUGGAUAGGGUAACUCCGGAAAAAGUAGGAAAGGUGGACAGGUAGUGCAGGAGUCUUCUGUGGCGAUCCCAUUUCAAGCACUUGGGCUGUUUUGAAAAAUGUAGGGGGGUGAUGGACUCUCUGGAACGUAGCACGAACAGCCAAGUUUCUGGUAUUGAAACAGGCUCUAAUGUAAUGAGGUGUAUGUCGGGUUCCAAGCGAUCGAUUGUGAUAGGGCACGGAUAGACAUUUCUGAUGCCAGCAGUGAAAAAUCAGAAUGGUGUGUUGCCUCCCUGGUGCCAGGAUCAAGGAUGUCUGAGUACAGAAUGCUCUCAAAGUGGAGAGGGACCAGCAUUGUAUACAUUGGAACCAACGACAUAGGAAGGGAAAAGGGUGAGAUUCUGAAAGGAGAAUAAAGAAAAUAGGCAGGAAACUAAAUAAGGAAGUCCUCGAGGGUCGUAAUAUCUGGGUUACUCCCAGUGCUUUGAGUUAGUGAGGGUAGGAAUAGGAGGAUAGGGCAGAUGAAUAUGGCUGAGGAGCUUGUGCGGGGGAGAAGGGUUCACAUUUUUAGAUCUUUGGAAUCUCUUCUGGAGUAGAAGUGACUUGUGAAAGGACAGACUGCACCUGAAUUGGAAGGGCACUAAUAUAUUGGCAGGAAAACUUGCGAGAGCUGCUUGGGUGGUGUUAAACCAUUAAGGUGAGGAAAGAGAUCAAUCUGAGACUGGUACAGUUGGGAAAAUGAAUCAGUCUAACAGUCAGGGUAGGUAGGGACAAAGCAGAGAACAAGUUAGGAUUGGUAAGUAAAACUGCAUUUACUUCAAAGCAAGAAGCCUAACCUGGGAUGCAGAUUAACUCGGGGCAAGCGAUAUCAUAGCAAUUAUAGGAACAUGGCUCAGGAAUGGACAAGACUGGCAGGUUAAGGUUCCAAGAUACAAAUGCUAUAGGGAGGAUAGAAAGAUGGUAUUACAGCUGUACUUAGGGAGGAUAUUCCAGGGAAUACAUCCAGGGAAGAUAUUUGGGUGGAACUGAGCAAUAAGAAAGGGAUAAUUACCUUAUUGGGAUUGUAUUAUAGACCACCUAAGAAUCAGUGGGAAAUUGAGAAACAAAUUCAUAAGGACAUUUCAGUUAUUGUUAAGAAUAAUGUGGUUAUGGUAGGGGAAUUUUAUCAUCUUUGCCCUCUCACCCUAAACUAAAAUCCUCCGGUUCUGGACUCCCCCACCCAAGAAAAAGACUUUGUCUAAUUUACCCUAUCCAUGCCACUCACGAUUUUCUAAACCUCUACAAAGUCAUCCCUCAGUCUCUGACACUCCAGAGGAAACAGUUCAGCCUCCACCCUGGAAACAUCCUUGUAAAUCUUUUCUGAACGCUUUCGAGUUUCACAACAUUCUUCUAAUACGAAGGAGACCAGAACUGCAUGCAAUAUUCCAAAAGUGGCCUAACCAAGAUCCUGUACAGCCACACCAUGACUUCCCAACUCCUAUUCUCAAUGCUCAGACCAAUAAAGGAAAGCAUACCAAAUGCUGCCUUCACUAUCCUAUCCAUCUGCGACUCUACUUUCAAGGAGCUAUGAACUUGCACUCCAAGGUCUCUUUGUUCCCCAGGAUCUUACCAUUAAGUGUAUAAGUCCUGCUCUGAUUUGCUUUUACAAAGUGCAACACCUCCCAUUUCUCUAAAUUAAACCCUAUUUGCGACUCCUCAGCCAUCGGCCCAGCUGAUCGAGAGCCCAUUGUAAAUCUCAGGUAACCUUCCUUGCUGUCCGCUACACCCCCAAUUUUUGUGUCAUCAGCAAACUUACUAACUAUAACUCCUAUGUUCAUAUCAAAAUAACUUAUAUAAACGAUGAAAAGUAAUGAAUUCGGCACUGAUUCUUAUGGCACUCCACUGGGCAUAGGCCUCCAGUCUGAAAAUCUACCCUCCACUACCACCCUCUGUCUUCUACCUUCAAGCUAGUUCUGUAUCCAAAUGGCUAGUUCUCCUUGUAUUCCAUGAUGUCUAACCUCAAACACCUUACUGAACUCCAUAUAGAUCAUGUCAACCACUCUACCCUCAUCAAUUGUUUUCGUUACUUCUUCAAAAUACUCGAUCAAGUUUGUGAGACAUGAUUUCCCCCCCACAAAGCCAUGUUGACUAUCCCCAAUUUGUCCUUGCCUGUCCAAAUACGUGUAAAACCUGUCCUGUGGAUUUAUCCACCUUUAUGGGUUUCAAGACAUCCAACAUGUCCUAAUCUGUAAUUUGGACAUUUUUCAAGAUAUCAUCAUCUAUUCCCCUACAUUCAUGGCACAGUGGCUUAGUGGUUAACACUGCUGCCUCACAGCACCAGAGUCCCAGGUUUGAUUCCAGGCUCAGGACUCCCUCCAACAACUUGCCCACCACUGACAUCAGGCUCAUCGGUCUCUGGCUUAUCCUUACCACCUUUAUUAAAAGGCACCAUAUUAAUACCUGACCUGUGACUGUUGAUGAUACAAAUAUCUCAGCAAGGGGUCCAACAAUCACUUCCCUAGCUUCUCAGAGUUCUGGGGUAUCUGUCCAAAGGCCAAUAGGUGAAUAAAAGGUAAAGCCAUAAUUUUUCCCCUUGUGGCUUGACAUAGCCACGCAUGCUCCUCGCUAUUUUUGCUAAUCUCCUUUCCUACACCUCAUGAUUUUGCAUAUCUCAAUAAGGUCACUCCACUGGGCACAGGCCUCAACCUCCUCCGCUCCAGUGAAAGAAGUCCUAGCCUCUCCUUUAUAACUCAAACCCUCCAGUCCUGGCACAUCUUUUCCAAACCCCGUCCAAUAUUAUUCUUCCUCUGAAGGACAAACUAUGUACCUGAACCUCUGCCAGAUCUCUCUGUUCUAUAACAUGACCCAGGGCCCAUUAACUGUACAAGUCCUACACUACUUUGUUUUAGCAAAAUGCAAGCCCUUGCUUUUAUCCAUACCCCUCUCACAUACGCACACUGUCAGACACACACACACACACACACACACACACACACACACACAUCCUCUUCUCUUUCACCCCGCCCCCAAAACCCUCGACCUCUAAGGCUUGUACUCGAACAAACUCACUUUACCAAACUCUCUUACAUGCACUCUGAUGCACAAACUCACAUGCACGCACACAUACAUAAGUCUAUGGGGUGAAUUGGCAUUUGCUGAAUUAUAUUUGCAGAUACAUGCAAUUUCGCUCAAAUAGCACACAAUAUGCAGGCAGCCAAUCCAUGUAGUAUGUUAUAAGCUCCUACUUUGGGAGUGGAACCGGUCUGAUUCGGGAUUAGGAUGCAUGCGGACUCAAGUCUCACCUGUCAUGCAUCGUCUCAGCUGAGAUGUCACCUACUUUUAUUAGCACCUUAAGUCAUCACGAGAAUGUGAUUUAAAAGAAAUUCUGAAAUUUAUAUAUUAAGGAAACCUGCAACCAAUUUGAAAAGAUGAAAGACUUAACAGCAAUCUAGGUUUGUUCAAUGUAUCCUAUCAGUUGCAUAAUACAGUGAUCUUUUGCUAUAAAAUCUGUGUCUUAUGAUCCUGCUCCACAGGUGCCUGAAGGAACAGUUGUGCUCCAAAAGCUUGUGUUUCCA
This is a long non-coding RNA of Hemiscyllium ocellatum (epaulette shark), 6533 nucleotides long. RefSeq lists it as uncharacterized. The record is from RefSeq and is a predicted model, not a curated record. The transcript is spliced from 4 exons. NCBI's taxonomy places the organism in Eukaryota, Metazoa, Chordata, Chondrichthyes, Orectolobiformes, Hemiscylliidae.